This 24-nucleotide non-coding RNA is filed under the name Arabidopsis thaliana (thale cress). The record is from RNAcentral. Lineage: Eukaryota; Viridiplantae; Streptophyta; Magnoliopsida; Brassicales; Brassicaceae.
UUGUAGUCUUACUUUGCAUAUUGC